AACGGGGGGAACGAGCGUUAUUCGUCAUGACUGGGCGUAAAGGGUUCGUAGGCUGUUCUGUAUGUUUGGCGAAAAAUCAGGAGACUGCUUUGCCAAAUACAGCAGGGCUAGAGUUCAGGAGAGGGCAGCGGUACUCUCAGUGGAGAGGUGAAAUUUGUUGAUACUGAUGGGGACCACCAGACGGUGAAGACGGCUGUCUAGAAUGAGACUGACGCUGAGGAACGAAAGCGUGGGGAGCAAACAGG
Molecule: ribosomal RNA, 245 nt
Filed under: uncultured prokaryote
Description: partial 16S ribosomal RNA
Rfam family: Bacterial small subunit ribosomal RNA
Source: RNAcentral